AGGCUACCUCGCCCUCCAACUCCCACCCGCUUUUUGUCGGAGGGGAACACGGUAUCCUAGCAACCAGCCACGCCGGAGUUAGGCCGGUUGCGGGGUGGGGCUUACUUUUCAUUGGUCAGUCAACGCGGAGUGGCGGCGGGAGGGGGAAGCAGUGCUGGCUGCCUGCGUACGUCACAGUUUGAGUCGGUGAUUGGUAGGUUCACCGUGUGUGUGUUUCUCACUGCGAUUUGUAGCACAGAGCUGGUGCGCACGGUUUUUGUUUGUUUGUUUGUUUUUUAAGAUGCACCCCACUUUCCCCCACGUAAAUUAUCGUCCGAAGGAUGGACAAUCGCACCGGUGACUUCCGUGUGUAGGAAACAAAACAAAUCACGGACGGAUCACGCUUUGAUCUUCUGUUUCCCUCUUUUGACGUUAGGUGGCUCGCGUGAGUAAAAGACUCGUGCGCGAGCGGCGAGCCCUUAUUCACGUGACGGGAAUCGCCGAGUGGAGUAACGUCUGCAUUGGCUCACACUGCUGCAUCCUUGCCCUGCGGCUUCCGCCAGGCUUGUUUCUUCACCUACACAAAGGCAAAUAUACCGAGCAGUAGAAAAGGGACAUUUUGCAGAGAAUCGCUUACUUUAAAUUAUAAUUAAUAGGUGGUGUGAUGAAAUGACAUGGGAGGGGCUAAUGCUCUGUACUCUGAUGCAAAUGUGUUUAGAACCGUGCUGAGCUGUCAGUCAAAAGAAUCUGUUGGUGGGGGUUGGAGCGUAAAAAAAAUAAUCAGCAGAGGAGUUAGUUGGGGGUUUGAGUCAGCUUCGGAGAUGCUCUGUGACUCAAACAACCUAAAAGAAGGGCUGGGUUUCUAUGAAAGUGCCUAGUUUGGACUUUCAAUUAAAGCUAAAAGAGUACCUUGCAACAAAGUAAAGUGUAACCCUGUAACAACAAGUAGAAGACUCACAGCCUGGCAGAGAUAAACAGAACCUCAGAAACAUGUUAGAAAUAGAUUGUAUUCUUAUAUUGAAGCUCUGGUCUGCGUGAGUUCUUCUGUCACUUCCCUACACAGGCUACACAAAGCUACCGUUCAUCAACACAGUGAGAGACUGAAACAAGUCUAAAGUAUUAAGGAGGCUUUAUUGUUUACUUUUUCAGGUGGCAGCAUAUGGAAAAGGUCAAUAAAGCCUAAUAAAUUUCCACAAGGUUGAUUUUCCUCAAAACACAGAGUACUAUACCACCUCCAAACCCCACAAGGGUUACAGAAUAGGUAAAUUUAGGGUUUAAUCCCUUUUUUAAAAAAAGGUUUCCUUUAUUAAAAUGGCAGCAUACAAGUUAGCCUAGUGGGAAAUGGAACUUAGCAUACUUUUAGCUGCUCUGUUAAUCUUCUGUUCAAAGAAUGUCCUCCUCCCCUGCUUUAGAUGAAUAGUGUUGUUGUUUUUUAAUAUAUGGGAUUUGGCUGCCCCACUGAAAUAAGCACAGUGGGUGGCAUCCAGACAUUUGGCACAGCAGUAUGCAAUCAGCAGAAACUCCUUUCAGAAUCAGAAGGGACACUUGAGCAAGUGAUAAUCACAGAAAGCAUUUCUACAGUAUGUCACUGCACCAAAGGAUGCCAGCCAUUGAGUAUGGCUUCAUGAGGGCCAAAUAAGUUAGAACUGUUUUGUACAAUUCACUGAAUAAACAAAAUAGCAAAGUUCAGCAUUAGCCUAAAGUGAUGCAUACUGAGGUAAAAAAAAAAUCCUGUCUUUCACAUGCACAUUUAUAAAGGAAGUGAACUCGCUAUGACUCUCUAGAAAAGAGUUCAUAAUGUCAUACUGGCAAGUUCAACUAGGACAUCAAUUUUGUGGACAGAGACAUGGGUGGGAUGGAGGUAAAGCAGAAAAGGGAUAGUGCCUGUUGGUGUGCUUGAUUGCCUGGAAACAUCAGAGUCCUGGAUGUUUGUGGUUUCAAAGCCACAGUCUUGAAUGCUGCCCCACUGCCUGUGGCAGCAGAAUCUACUGAGGGAUCCUAGUCUCCCCCCUUCUCACAGGCAGAGAACACACAAGGAACGAUGAUUUGAAGAGGGGGAAACGGCGUUACAUUUUCCACCCCUCUUAAAUGUAUUUUUCUUCCUUUCUGUCAUCAAAACUGUUCCAUAAAGAAAGGAGGAAAUAAUAUUCUCUCACCAGAAACAGUCAAAUAACUUUCUCUCACUUAUGCGGAUGGCUGAAGCAGCGAACCCAAGCUGAAGCAGAAGAACCUUCUGAGGCGUCCGUACUGGUUGGCAGUCGGAAAGGAACUGAGGAGAGCAGCGCUCCACCCACCUUUCUGAUGGAUGCAUGCGCACCGUGGGAGGAGACGGAAGUGCUGCGCAAAGCUUUAGAAUCUUGACAAGUCGUGUAUCUCAGUGGUGUGAAUACACUGGGAUCACAUCAAGGAUCUGGUCUCCAAGAACCUGGCCUUCAGAGUCCUCCUGCUGCUCAAUAACGCCCCUGACCAUCCUGAGGCCCUGCAAUUCAUACACCCAAACCUGAAGUUCGCCUUCUUGCCACCCAAUGUCACCUUCUUGAUCCAACUGAUGGACCAAGGUCUAAUCGUGACCUUCAAAGCUUUAGCACUGAGCUCUAGGGCCUCCCCAACCUCAGCCCCUUGUGUUUUACAAUUACCUUGUUUUUAGAUUAAUGGUCUUCAUAUAUGCAAUCUUUCUGCUUUGCUUCUGCCUUGUUUUUACAUAAUAAAAUUCAAUUUUAUAAA
Molecule: long non-coding RNA, 2703 nt
Organism: Hemicordylus capensis (graceful crag lizard)
Lineage: Eukaryota; Metazoa; Chordata; Lepidosauria; Squamata; Cordylidae
Exons: 2
Source: RefSeq, a predicted model, not a curated record